This 662-nucleotide ribosomal RNA is filed under the name Pachyphloeus sp. RH-2012. RNAcentral's name for it is "eukaryotic LSU rRNA". The stretch from base 273 to 426 matches the Rfam family "5.8S ribosomal RNA". The record is from RNAcentral. Lineage: Eukaryota; Fungi; Ascomycota; Pezizomycetes; Pezizales; Pezizaceae.
UUAGAGGAAGAAAAGUCGUAACAAGGUUUUCCGUAGGGAACCUGCGGAAGGAUCAUUAUCAAAAAAUUUCAUUUAUUUUUUGAAAUAUUUUUCCAAUUUCCCCUGUGUAUUUUACUCCAUGUUUGCUUCCACUAGACUGGUAUUUUAUUUACCCUUCAAUCUGCUAAAUAUUUAGAGGGUUGGGGAAAUGUCGGUGGAUAGCCCAAAACCAAAAGAACGUUUGUUUAUAUAUAUAUAGUCUGAUACAUAAAAAAUAUAACAAAAUAUAAAAAAACUUUCAACAACGGAUCUCUAGGCUCUUGCAUCGAUGAAGAACGCAGUGAAAUGUGAUAAGUAAUGUGAAUUGCAGAAUCUCGUGAAUCAUCGAAUCUUUGAACGCACAUUGCGCCCAAUGGUAUUCCAUUGGGCAUACCUGUUUGAGUGUCAGAAUCCUUCCAAUUAUCAAACUUUUAUAUAUAAAGAUGUUUGGACUUUAAUUGAGAAGAGUAGUAUUACUAUAAUAUUACUUUCUUAAAAACUAGGAAUAUUUUGUAUUGGUUUUCUUCCAACUCAUUUUGUAUUUAAUAUAACAAACGAGGAUGAAUAAAACAAACAACAAUAAUACCUUUGGAUGACCUCAAAUCAGGUAGGGAUACCCGCUGAACUUAAGCAUAUCAAUAAGC